UGGGGAAUAUUGCACAAUGGGCGCAAGCCUGAUGCAGCGACGCCGCGUGAGGGAUGGAGGCCUUCGGGUUGUAAACCUCUUUCGCCAGUGAAGCAGGCCAUCUUCUUUGUGGGGUGGUUGACGGUAGCUGGAUAAGAAGCGCCGGCUAACUACGUGCCAGCAGCCGCGGUAAUACGUAGGUGGCAAGCGUUGUCCGGAUUUAUUGGGCGUAAAGCGAGCGCAGGCGGUUUCUUAAGUCUGAUGUGAAAGCCCCCGGCUCAACCGGGGAGGGUCAUUGGAAACUGGGAGACUUGAGUGCAGAAGAGGAGAGUGGAAUUCCAUGUGUAGCGGUGAAAUGCGUAGAUAUAUGGAGGAACACCAGUGGCGAAGGCGGCCCCCUGGACGAAGACUGACGCUCAGGUGAGAAAGCGUGGGGAGCAAACAGG
This 425-nucleotide ribosomal RNA is filed under the name Chloroflexota bacterium. RNAcentral describes it as "Chloroflexi bacterium partial 16S ribosomal RNA". It matches the Rfam family "Bacterial small subunit ribosomal RNA", at positions 355 to 776 of the family's 1533-position model. Lineage: Bacteria; Bacillati; Chloroflexota. The record is from RNAcentral.